GAAUGGCGCCGGCGGAGGAAAAUCCUCAGAUGGAGGCGAGCAGUUAUGGGAGAUGCGAAAAUCACAGGGGAGCGUGGAACCCACGUCACAACUUGCGCCCGAGAACAUCACACGGGAGAGAAGCUGCGUCCUCAGUGAAUGGCGUCCCAGAAAAGCACAGCCGCACCAAGCGUCAGAUAAGCCAUUCUGAGCUCAGUCUUUGGAAGGACCACAGGCUCCAGAUGGCCGGGCAGAUGCAGCCGGCUCGCGCCUCCUCCGACGGGAACCCAAGGACCUGGUAGGUUCUCACCCUUGCAGUAGAUCGGCUGAGAGAACGCGGCAUUCAGCCGAGAUGCCCCGGGGAGCCGGAGCAGCUAAGCGGAGGCCGCCGCGCAGCCCGCACGGAGAAAUCGGAUAGGUGGGGACCGCCUGCAGCUCCCGCGCGGGGAAAGGGUGAGUGAGAGACCCCGGGGCUCCGCAGUCCCCCCAACAGACUUCACAGCCCCCGACCCUCGCGGGCCUCCAGAGAAGCGGGCAGCGGCCGAGAGAUUCUCCAGCGGCGUGGCCGGAGCCCACGUGGAGCCCACGGGCUUCCCUGCCCUGAGCAGCUGCAGCUGCAGCCCCCGCCAGCCUGAGUCCUGAGUCCAGCCCGGAGGGCAGCUCCUGCCCCGCCUGAGGAAGAAGUCCUCCCGUAGGAAAUGAGUUCACAAACUUGGAAGAAGCAAUUUACACAGGACGGGCAGAUCUCAACAGAAGGACACGAGAGACAGGAAAAAGCAAGGAAAUGGGAUGCUUCCAAAGGAACCCAGUAAUUUUCCAGCAACAGAUGCCCAUCCAAAAGAAAUGGGCAGAUUAAUUUUGGGCAGUUUCUCCAUGUUGGUCAGGCUAGUCUUGAGAGAGAACUGGGCAUAUUAAUUUUAACCAAGAUUAGGGGGAUACAAGAGACAAGAAAAAGGAACGAAAUGUCAACAGCAAUUCUGGAUAUGGUUGACGUAGCUACCAACCAGAUGCUGAGUUUUCCAGAGUGCACAGCAAAUAUGGAACUGAGGAAAUCGGUGUAUGAUAUACAAAGUACACUUGAAAGUUUCAGUGAUAGACUAGAUCAAGUAGGAAAAAAAACUCUCAAAACUUAAAAUCUGAAGACUUUUUCUCAGUUCAAAGAGAUUUAAAGCAUUAUACUCUGGCCAUUCAUGUGAACAAAAUCUGCUGGGUUGUUACACUAGGGCCUUGGGUAAUCAUUAAAGGUGAAAAUGAAAAUAA
Long non-coding RNA from Callithrix jacchus (white-tufted-ear marmoset), 1239 nucleotides. RefSeq lists it as uncharacterized. The record is from RefSeq and is a predicted model, not a curated record. Lineage: Eukaryota; Metazoa; Chordata; Mammalia; Primates; Cebidae.